UACGAAGGGGGCUAGCGUUGUUCGGAAUUACUGGGCGUAAAGGGCGCGUAGGCAGUGUGUCAAGUCAGGCGUGAAAGCCCCGGGCUCAACCUGGGAACCGCGCUUGAGACUGGCACGCUCGAGUUCGGGAGAGGAUGGUGGAAUUCCCAGUGUAGAGGUGAAAUUCGUAGAUAUUGGGAAGAACACCUAUGGCGAAGGCAGUUCUCUGGGACGGUACUGACGCUGAGACGCGAAAGCGUGGGGAGCGAACAGG
RNAcentral lists this ribosomal RNA (253 nucleotides) under uncultured bacterium. Its description in RNAcentral is "partial 16S ribosomal RNA". It matches the Rfam family "Bacterial small subunit ribosomal RNA", at positions 524 to 776 of the family's 1533-position model. The record is from RNAcentral.